Molecule: ribosomal RNA, 1180 nt
Filed under: uncultured Gammaproteobacteria bacterium
Lineage: Bacteria; Pseudomonadati; Pseudomonadota; Gammaproteobacteria
Description: bacterial SSU rRNA
Rfam family: Bacterial small subunit ribosomal RNA
Source: RNAcentral
UCAUGCAGUCGAACGGCAGCGCGAGGAGCUUGCUCCUUGGCGGCGAGUGGCGGACGGGUGAGUAACGCGUAGGAAACUACCUAGUAGUGGGGGAUAACUCGGGGAAACUCGGGCUAAUACCGCAUACGCUCUACGGAGGAAAGCAGGGGAUCUUCGGACCUUGCGCUAUAAGAUGUGCCUGCGUCGGAUUAGCUUGUUGGUGGGGUAAAGGCCUACCAAGGCGAUGAUCCGUAGCUGGUCUGAGAGGAUGACCAGCCACACUGGGACUGAGACACGGCCCAGACUCCUACGGGAGGCAGCAGUGGGGAAUAUUGGACAAUGGGGGGAACCCUGAUCCAGCAACGCCGCGUGUGUGAAGAAGGUCUUCGGAUUGUAAAGCACUUUCAGCGGGGAGGAAAAAAUAGUUCUUAAUACGGGCUAUCUUGACAUUACCCGCAAAAGAAGCACUGGCUAACUCUGUGCCAGCAGCCGCGGUAAUACAGAGAGUGCGAGCGUUAAUCGGAAUUAUUGGGCGUAAAGCGCGCGUAGGUUGAUCGCUAAGUCAAAUGUGAAAGCCCUGGGCUCAAUCCAGGAACUGCAUUUGAUACUGGUGGUCUAGAGUAUGGUAGAGGGAAGUGGAAUUUCCGGUGUAGCGGUGAAAUGCGUAGAUAUCGGAAGGAACACCAGUGGCGAAGGCGGCUUCCUGGACCAAUACUGACACUGAGGUGCGAAAGCGUGGGUAGCAAACAGGAUUAGAGACCCUGGUAGUCCACGCUGUCAACGAUGAGAACUAGAUGUUGGGAAGCAUGACUUCUUAGUAUCGAAGCUAACGCGUUAAGUUCUCCGCCUGGGGAGUACGGCCGCAAGGUUAAAACUCAAAGGAAUUGACGGGGGCUCGCACAAGCGGUGGAGCAUGUGGUUUAAUUCGAUGCAACGCGAAGAACCUUACCUGCUCUUGACAUCCCAAGAAUCCUCUAGAGAUAGAGGAGUGCUUAGGAACUUGUGACAGGUGUGCAUGACUGUCGUCAGCUCGUGUCGUGAGAUGUGGUAGUCCCGCACGAGCGCACCCUGUCCUAGUGCAGCGUCGUCGGGAACUCUAAGGGACUGCGGUGAUAACCGGAGAAGGUGGGACAAUGUCAGUCAUUAUGGCCUAUGAACAGGGCUUACACACUGUUACAUGGGGAGAUCACAUGAGGGCGGC